GACGAACGCUGGCGGCGUGCUUAACACAUGCAAGUUGAACGGUGAAGCGCCUUCCUUUUUGGUGGGUGUGGAUGAGUGGCGAACGGGUGAGUAACACGUGAGUAACCUGCCCCCUUCUUCUGGAUAACCGCAUGAAAGUGUGGCUAAUACGGGAUAUUCUGGGUCUGUCGCAUGAUGGGUCUGGGAAAGAUAUUGUUUCGGUGGGGGAUGGGCUCGCGGCCUAUCAGCUUGUUGGUGGGGUGAUGGCCUACCAAGGCGGUGACGGGUAGCCGGCCUGAGAGGGUGGACGGUCACACUGGGACUGAGACACGGCCCAGACUCCUACGGGAGGCAGCAGUGGGGAAUAUUGCACAAUGGGCGCAAGCCUGAUGCAGCGACGCCGCGUGAGGGAUGGAGGCCUUCGGGUUGUGAACCUCUUUCGCCAGUGAAGCAGGCCUGCCUCGUUUGUGGGUGGGUUGACGGUAGCUGGAGAAGAAGCGCCGGCUAACUACGUG
This 494-nucleotide ribosomal RNA is filed under the name uncultured bacterium. RNAcentral's name for it is "partial 16S ribosomal RNA". It matches the Rfam family "Bacterial small subunit ribosomal RNA", at positions 28 to 507 of the family's 1533-position model. The record is from RNAcentral.